This 253-nucleotide ribosomal RNA is filed under the name uncultured bacterium. RNAcentral describes it as "partial 16S ribosomal RNA". It matches the Rfam family "Bacterial small subunit ribosomal RNA", at positions 524 to 776 of the family's 1533-position model. The record is from RNAcentral.
UACGUAGGGUGCAAGCGUUGUCCGGAAUUAUUGGGCGUAAAGAGCUCGUAGGCGGUCUGUUGCGUCCGCUGUGAAAACCCGGGGCUUAACCCUGGGCUGGCAGUGGAUACGGACAGACUAGAGGUAGGUAGGGGAGAAUGGAAUUCCCGGUGUAGCGGUGAAAUGCGCAGAUAUCGGGAGGAACACCGGUGGCGAAGGCGGUUCUCUGGGCCUUACCUGACGCUGAGGAGCGAAAGCGUGGGGAGCGAACAGG